Molecule: long non-coding RNA, 4150 nt
Filed under: Marmota monax (woodchuck)
Lineage: Eukaryota; Metazoa; Chordata; Mammalia; Rodentia; Sciuridae
Source: RNAcentral
AAUAAAAUAAAAACUAAAAACAUAUGAUAUGGGUGCAGUGGCACACGCCCGAAAUCCCAGCAGCUCUGGAGGCUGAGACAGGAGGAUCAUGAGUUCAAAGCCAGCCUCAGCAAAAAGCAAGGCUCUAAGCAACUCAAUGAGACCCUGUCUCUAAAUAAAAUACAAGAUAGGAUUGGGAAUGUGGCUCAGUGGUCAAGUGCUCCUGAGUUAAAUCCCCGGUAUCCCCAGAAAAUAAAAAUAAAUGUAUUCUGGGCAUGGUGGUGCAUGCCUGUAAUUCCAACAACUCAGGAGGCAGGACGAUUUCAAAUUUGAGGCCAGCCUCAGCAACUUAGUGAGGACCUAAGCAAUUUAAUGAGGCUCUAUCUCAAAAUGAAAAAUACAAAUGGCUGGGGAUGUGACUCAGUGGUUAGGUGCCCUGGGUUCAAUCCCCAGAACCAAACCAACCAAACAAACAAACAAAAAAAUGUGAAGCUGGGUUCAGUAGCACAUACCUAUAAUCCAAGCACUUGAGAUACUGAGACAGAAGGAUCCCUUGAGCUCAGAAGUUUGAACCAGACCCCCAUCUCAAAAUAAAUAAAUACAUAAAUAAAGUAAAAUAAAAACAAACGUGGACAUUUAAAGUAAAGCAAAAUACUUCUUUAAAAAAUUGAUAUUAGCAAAUGAUUUAGGAGUAACUUCCUUUUUUUCCUCCUCCAGUUAUUGGAUUUCUCUGGAAACAAUGCUAAUACUUUAUUAAACACUUGUCUCAGACUGUUCCCUACAAAGUUUCUAGUUUUAAUUUGGGAAAAGAACAUUCUGUGGUAGAUAAUGAGAGAAAAUUCAAAAGCAUAAAAUAGUAAGAUAUACUUUAUAGGAAAACUUACAUUCAUGUUGUAGAGUUUUAUAUUAAUUCUAGAAGUCCAAAUUCUCAGAAGUCCAAAUCUCAAGCAAAUAUUAAAAUAACUGGGCAUGGUGACAUUUGCCUAUAACCCCAGUGACUCAGGAGGCUGAGACAAAAGGAUUUCGAGUUCAAGGGCAACCUCACCAAUUUAGCAAGAUACUGUGUCAAAAUAAAAUAAAAGGGGCUGGGGAUGUACCUAAAUGGUAAAGAACACCUCAAUACUGCAGAGAAAUAAAAACAAAAACAAAUGUAUUAAUAUAAAUUUAAAACAGUGCUAAGAGUGGAGGGGACAUCAGCAGCUCAUACAUUAACAUGAAUUUCUAGAAGACAGAAAAUAAAUGGUAUCAUACUGAGAAAGAAACUAGAGCAGUAGAACCUUUGCAUAGAACCUACCCAGGAGGGGCUUGGGAUGUGGCUCAAUGCUAGUAGAGUUCUUGCCUAGCACGUAUCAGGCCUGGGUUCAUCCCUAGCAUUGCCAAAAAACAGAACAACAACAACAACAAACAAACAAAACCAAAUAGAACCUACCCAGGAGAAGGCUAAGGGAGGUGAGAGGCUCCAAAUAGAAGGCACUGGAUUUGCAGAGAGGAGUGGGAAGUGGGAGAGAAAAUGAGAUGAUUAAUUAAAGGACAAUCUCGUAACCACUCCAUGGCCAUCCCUGUGUAUAGAGUCAAUAUUUCUUCCCUGAACAAAAAAAAAAAAACCCAAGGAUCAUGAAUACAUAUAUAAAGUGGCCAAGCACAUGGCACAGGUAAGGGAAGUAGAUGGGAGGUUGCAGGUAAAAAGAGACCACCUGCCUGACUCUAGGGGUAGCUUUGCUCAGUCCGUCUGUUUCUAUUCCCUGAACUUCUAGGAAAAGCUAUAAACCUGGAUUUUUAGUUAAAAGUGACCAAAUUGUUGACAAUUUCUUGAAUAUAUAUGUAAAUCUCUGUCCACAAAAGGUACAUGGGGCCCAUGGACCACCAGAUAGAGGUUUCUUCUAAACAAAAUUGAAUAAGCUACCCUGGAAGUUUCCAGAAGUGAGUCUGUGUGUGUGUGUGUGUGUGUGUGUGUGCACAUGCAUACAUAUGCACAUGCAUGCAUGCAUGCACACUGGUGGGAUUGAACCCAGGAGGAAAUAUUUUUAGACACCUCUAGGGAUGUAGAGCAAAAUGAUAAAGAAAUGGGAAAAAAGAGUUAAGCGAUGGAAGAUCAAUUCAUUCAAUGUAUAACAUAAUUUCCAGAAAGAGAGUACAGGGGAAAUGGAGCAAAAGAAAUAAUCAAAGACUCUAUUUGAUGGAGAAAAAGGUGGCUCUCACCUUGGCUGCUUGUUGGAAUCACCUGAGGAGCUUUUCAACCACUGCUGGAGGACUCCCACUUCUGGCAAGAUGGAGGAACAGGGCCCCCACGGGAAACAACCGCCAUCACCAUUACAAAGACAUAACAAAGACAGACAAAAUACAGGAAGACAACAGUGUUACAAACUGUGCAUCAGACAAUGACAAACAAUAACGAAGGCAAUGAAAUCCCAGAGAGAAAGGAAACAUGCAAGGUUUGCCCUUCUAAGAUUGGCCAGCUUACUCUCUCAAAAGAGUUCCCAGUGGCAGAGCAAGGAGGGAGAAGUGAGGUGGAGCCCAGAGGACUUUCUGAGCUGAGGAAAUGGAGCUGAGGGUCCGAGAGACCACAGCAGCUGGAGCUGGAGAUGAAUAGUGGGGAAGAGAGAGUUGCAGAGAGACCCAGAGACCUUCAGAGGGUUCCCUCAAGUACUCAGCAGAGAAUUAAUCAGCACAUGUGUGUGAGGAAACUACCCAAGGCCAGGGAAAGAACCAUCUGAAAGGAUUAGAGGGAACAGUGCCCAGGACUCACACAAGGCCAGGGCCAGGGCAUUUUCCCACCAGCCAGGCUGCUAACGUUCAGAAUUCACACAGCACUGGGGAGGGAAUAAUUAACCCCAGACUGAACACUGCUCUGGGCCUGCCUAACAAGUCCUAAAGAUUAUGCCAAUAUCUGGUGCUCUACAAAGUUAGAUUUACAAUAUUUGGAAAUCAAAGUAUUAUUAGGCAAAAGAAACAAUGCAGAGACAACAUACAGGUUGGGAAAAACUAUUUACAAACAACACAUCUGAUGAAGUGUUAAUAUCCAAAAUAUAUAAGAAUCUCAAGGGCUGGGGUUGUGGCUCAGUGGCUGAGUGCUUGCUUAGCAUGAGUAAGGCACUGAGUCCAAUUCUCAGCAUCACAUAUAAAUAAAUGAAUAAGACAACUAUUAUAUAUAUAUAUAUAUAUAUAUAUAUAUAUAUAUAUAUAUAUAUAUAUAUAUAAUUUUUAAAAAUCUCAAAAAACUCAAAAACAAAUAUCCUGAUUUUAAAAUGGGCAAAAGACCUGAAUAGACGUUUCUCCAAAAGAAGAUAUACAAAUGGCCAUCAGAUAAUGCCAGACAUGGUGGUGUGUACUUGUAAUCCCAGCAACUCAGAAGGCUGAGGCAGGAGGAUUGCAGGUUUGAGACCAGACUGGGAAAUUUAGCAAGACCCUGUUUCAAAAUAAAACAUAAAGAUGACUGAGGGUGCAGCUCUGUGGUAAAGCACCCCUCGUUUGUCAGGUAAUAAUUAGCAGUGAGCAAUGAAAUGCAUGCCAAGGCCACAAGUGUUCUUUAAAUUGCUAUAGGGUUUUUCUUUAAACACUUUCAAGAUGGACAAGAAAGCAAAAGAUGGUCAUUAAUUUGUAGAAAAUAAAUGAAAACAAAGGAGUUAACUUGGAAAAUAUGUCAAGAGAAAAGAACUAAUGUGACUAAAUCUUGACAAGGUCCAUUGAGGUUGGUAUGAAACUCGGGAUUGUGGCUGUAAGUGUUUCUAUUGUCUGGGAAGGAGGAUUCCUUCAGUGGUGACACGCUAGGAUAACCUCUGACCAGCUACUGGCCCCAGUGUCCACAUUAACAGGAUUGACUUGUAGAUGAAGCCCCCCUAAAUAGGAUGGCCACAAUGACAGUUCUGGAGAGGACCAAUUAAGGUCAAAAACUCCAUCAUCUGACGUGAAGGAGGAGGAGUUGGGCACCUGAUUGGUGAAGGUUGCUGGAAGAGGACCCCAGUUCUCCUGGUAAACUUCAAACAGUAAUAAAUUUGGAGGCAGCAUUGUAACCCUUGUCAUUCUCUGCUGAGAGAUGUCCUCUCUCUCUCUCUCUCUCUCUCUCUCUCUCUCUCUCUCUCUCUCUCUCUCAGAGUGCUCUCCGCUUGAGCCUCACUUUGCUUUCACUUUACUUUCAUCUCAAUUUCACUUAUAAUAAAGUUCUCUUUAUGGA